This is a long non-coding RNA of Bubalus bubalis (water buffalo), 2601 nucleotides long. RefSeq lists it as uncharacterized. The transcript is spliced from 5 exons. The record is from RefSeq and is a predicted model, not a curated record. Lineage: Eukaryota; Metazoa; Chordata; Mammalia; Artiodactyla; Bovidae.
AAAAUAGAAAAUCGCAGCUGGUGAUCUCAGCUUCACACACACAACUGUGAAGGAUCAAGCCCAGGAACAUAGCCAUUAGGUGAAACACCUCAUUAGGGCUUCCAUAGCCAAAGCUUAGCACGCCAGGCCCUGGCUGGAAGUCGCAGGGUAGAGUGGUCCAUGAAAAACGAAGAGGAAACGGGGAAAACAAACUCUUUGGAGCCAAAUUUGUCAGGGUUCGGCUUUGAUGACGGCGAGGUGGGCUACGGACGCUUUCAUUUAGGAGGCUGAUGAGGACGUUCCAAGCACAACAACCCCCCUCGAGGCAGAUGCUGUGGGUCUGGAUGCAGCUGUAACCUAAUUAUCACGCAUUCUUGGUAUAUUUCAGUCGGAGUGGCAAUGACCACAGGCAAGUUCAAGUGCUUCUGCACAUCUUAGGAAUAACUGAGCCUUUCCAGGCAGCACUUCAGAAGACUGUCUUCUCUUUUGAUGGCACCUCUUACUCCCUCAACCCUAAAGUGUUGUGAAGUCAAGUGCACGGAAGGGCCUGUUUUAUUUUCUGGUUUUAGGGCCACAGUCUCUUCUUUAUACAAGCAUCGCCUAAUGGAGCAAGUGCUUUCCUCCAAUGAGCACCGCAGAUCGCCUCCACCAUUCACCAGGUGUGCAUGAAAGUGGCCACAGGCAAGAAGCUCCCUGAAGCAAAGCGACCGAGAACAUUAACUGAGGAGUCAGCAGGACCUGGCUUCAAAUCCCAGGACUGCCAUUCCCCAGAGACAUGACCUUGGAUCAGAUGUUCACCCUCCCUGGGUCUCAGUUUCCUCACCUGAAUAUAAGCAGGUGACUCCUUUCUAGGGCUCCCGUAGGAUAAUGAGUGCGAUAUGAUUUCCUCCUGGGUAUUAUUAGCACAGGCAAAUUAGCAAAAAGGCAUCAGAGUCCACAACCUUCCAUCAGAACGGUUUCCCCACUUAGAAAUUCCCGUGCAGUAGUUUCUCCUGGUAUUUGCUAAACCACGGCCAUUCUUGUAACACCUUUGCAAGUUUCACACACUGCAGAGCAGCUGUGUUAACUUAGGAUUUUCCUUUAAUUGAGCUACCCUUCCUGCACAUUUUUUUUUUAAAACAAACACAGUUCAGAAAGAAACUUGUCCUCACAACUGCAGAUGGCAAACCUGUUCCACUCACCAUAGCAGAAAGUUAAACACGAAGAUGAGCAUGUAUGUUAGUUUCUUGUGGAUGCUGUAACAGAUUACCACAAAUUCAGUGGCUUGAAACAACACAAGUUUAUCCUCUUACAGAGUUCUAGACAUUAGAAAUCUAAAAUCAAGGUGUUUCAGACUUCCCUGGUAGCCCAGUGGAUAGGAAUCUGCCUGCCAAAGCAGUGGACAGGGGUUCGAUCCCUGGUCCGGGAAGAUUUCACGUGCCAUGGAGCAAUUAAGCCUGUGUGCCACAACUGCUGAGCCCCUGUGCUGCUGCUCCUGAAGCUUAGAGCCUGUGCUCUGCAACAAUGACACCCAUGCAUCACAACCAAAGAGUAGCCCCCACUCUGUAUGAUUAGAGAAAAGCCCGUGCAGCACCGAAGACCCAGUGCGGCCAGAAAUAAAUAACAUAAAUAAAAAAAUUAAGUCAAGGUGUUCCUUUGGGAGCUUUCAAAGGCGAAUCAGUUUCCUUGCCUUUUUCAGCUUCCAGAGGCCAGUGCAUUCCUUGGCAUCGGCUCCUUCGCCACAGCUAGUUCCUUCUAUCGACUCUCACCUCCUGCCUCCCUCUUCUGAGGACUCUGUGAUUACAUUAAUCAUACCUGUUAAGUCUCUUUGGCCAUACAAGAACUCCUAAAGCCCUUGGAAUUUUUAAUAGCCGAGAUAUGGAAGCAGCCUAAGUGCCCAUCAGCAGUUGAGUGGAUAAAGACGAUAUGGUGUGUAUAUACAACCGAAUGUUACCCAGCCAGGAAAAAGAAGGAAAUCUUGCCAUUCUGACAACACGGAUGGACCUGGAGGAUAUUUUGCUCAGUGAAAUAAGCUGGACUGAGAAAGACAAAUACUGUUUGUUUUCACUUGUAUGUCGAAUCAAAACACCAAAACAAACCAACGUAAAAUGAAAACAGACUCAUAGAUACAGAGAACAAACAAGUGGUUGCCUGAGGAGAGAGGGGUGGGCAGAAUAGGUGAAGAGGAUUGAGAGGUACACGCUACCAGCUGUAAAACAGGGAUCAAAGGACGGCAGCUUCCAGGGGCAGUCUCUUUCACCCUCAUCACAGGGGUCUCAGGUGAAACGCCAGUCAGUCCUUCAACAUGAAGAGGGGGCAGCCCACGGUCUUUCCUCCAAGAUGCUCCUAUGCCGACAUCCUACAGGUUAAGCCACUUCCGGUCUCUAAGUGGACCCAGCCGCAGGUGUAAGCCUUCCUGGACUUCCCGCUCCAAAGGCAUCUCUGAGUACUCCCAGUGGGAAGCAUGUCUAAAGAGGCAUCUGGAGAUUUCCAAACUCUUCUCUUACCCCGAAGCUUCUUAGGUGAUGGAAUUAGUUAACCCUACUUCAAGCUCCUCACAAGGCAUUUUCUUAAGGAAACUUGUAUAACCAGCAGAGGUAGAUGUUCAUGAGUUCGGGAUGUGAUCUUGCUAAUUACUUGUUA